UGUUGUUAGAGUUGGCAUUCUGUA
RNAcentral lists this non-coding RNA (24 nucleotides) under Mus musculus (house mouse). Lineage: Eukaryota; Metazoa; Chordata; Mammalia; Rodentia; Muridae. The record is from RNAcentral.